UCCCUGGUAGCCUAGUGUUUAAGGAUCCAGCAUUGUCACUGCUAUCACUCAGGUUCAAUCCCUGGCCUGGGAA
RNAcentral lists this transfer RNA (73 nucleotides) under Sus scrofa (pig). It matches the Rfam family "tRNA". Rfam says of the family: Transfer RNA (tRNA) molecules are approximately 80 nucleotides in length. Their secondary structure includes four short double-helical elements and three loops (D, anti-codon, and T loops). The record is from Rfam by way of RNAcentral. Lineage: Eukaryota; Metazoa; Chordata; Mammalia; Artiodactyla; Suidae.